RNAcentral lists this transfer RNA (74 nucleotides) under marine sediment metagenome. Its description in RNAcentral is "tRNA-His". It matches the Rfam family "tRNA". From Rfam's summary of the family: Transfer RNA (tRNA) molecules are approximately 80 nucleotides in length. Their secondary structure includes four short double-helical elements and three loops (D, anti-codon, and T loops). The record is from RNAcentral.
GUAGGGGUGGUGUAAUGGUAGCAUAGCAGGCCGUGAUCCAGUCGGUUCGGGUUCGAAUCCCGACCCUUACUCCA